Non-coding RNA from Glycine max (soybean), 198 nucleotides. The record is from Rfam. NCBI's taxonomy places the organism in Eukaryota, Viridiplantae, Streptophyta, Magnoliopsida, Fabales, Fabaceae.
ACAUGAUGCAGACCUUUUGGCUAAGAUCAAGUGUAGUAUCUGUUCUUGCCAGUUUAAUAUUUGAUAUGUGGGCCAUUGGUUCACAUGAUAUUAAAAUUACUUUUUAAGGGUAGUGUCCAACACAGUAGCUUGCUAUUGGGGUUCUUAAUUAAGUGUCACUCAAUCGUUGCACUAUAGCAUGGGUCUGGCGCACCAUAC